Molecule: ribosomal RNA, 253 nt
Filed under: uncultured bacterium
Lineage: Bacteria
Description: partial 16S ribosomal RNA
Rfam family: Bacterial small subunit ribosomal RNA
Source: RNAcentral
UACGGGGGGGGUAAGCGUUGUUCGGAAUUACUGGGCGUAAAGGGCUCGUAGGCGGCCAACUAAGUCAGACGUGAAAUCCCUCAGCUUAACUGGGGAACUGCGUCUGAUACUGGAUGGCUUGGAUUCGGGAGAGGAAUGCGGAAUUCCAGGUGUAGCGGUGAAAUGCGUAGAUAUCUGGAGGAACACCGGUGGCGAAGGCGGCAUUCUGGACCGAUAUUGACGCUGAGGAGCGAAAGCCAGGUGAGCAAACGGG